This 432-nucleotide ribosomal RNA is filed under the name uncultured bacterium. Its description in RNAcentral is "partial 16S ribosomal RNA". It matches the Rfam family "Bacterial small subunit ribosomal RNA", at positions 29 to 506 of the family's 1533-position model. The record is from RNAcentral.
AACGAACGCUGGCGGCAUGCCUAACACAUGCAAGUCGAACGAGACCUUCGGGUCUAGUUGCGCACGGGUGCGUAACGCGUGGGAACCUGCCCUUAGGUUCGGAAUAACUCCCCGAAAGGGGUGCUAAUACCGGAUAAUGUCUUCGGACCAAAGAUUUAUCGCCUUUGGAUGGGCCCGCGUUGGAUUAGCUAGUUGGUAGGGUAAAAGCCUACCAAGGCGACGAUCCAUAGCUGGUCUGAGAGGAUGAUCAGCCACACUGGGACUGAGACACGGCCCAGACUCCUACGGGAGGCAGCAGUGGGGAAUAUUGGACAAUGGGCGAAAGCCUGAUCCAGCAAUGCCGCGUGAGUGAUGAAGGCCUUAGGGUUGUAAAGCUCUUUUACCCGGGAUGAUAAUGACAGGACCGGGAGAAUAAGCUCCGGCAAACUCCGU